UACGUAGGGUGCAAGCGUUGUCCGGAAUUAUUGGGCGUAAAGAGCUCGUAGGCGGCUUGUCGCGUCGGCUGUGAAAACUCGGGGCUCAACCCCGAGCCUGCAGUCGAUACGGGCAGGCUAGAGUCCGGCAGGGGAGACUGGAAUUCCUGGUGUAGCGGUGAAAUGCGCAGAUAUCGGGAAGAACACCCGUGGCGAAGGCGGUUCUCUGGGACGGUACUGACGCUGAGACGCGAAAGCGUGGGGAGCGAACAGG
RNAcentral lists this ribosomal RNA (253 nucleotides) under uncultured bacterium. RNAcentral's name for it is "partial 16S ribosomal RNA". It matches the Rfam family "Bacterial small subunit ribosomal RNA", at positions 524 to 776 of the family's 1533-position model. The record is from RNAcentral.